Long non-coding RNA from Mirounga angustirostris (Northern elephant seal), 7244 nucleotides. RefSeq lists it as uncharacterized. Lineage: Eukaryota; Metazoa; Chordata; Mammalia; Carnivora; Phocidae. The record is from RefSeq and is a predicted model, not a curated record. The transcript is spliced from 4 exons.
GGGUUUUAAUAGUGUGCGUUUUUUUCCCCAGGUCUCAUGUUUAGGACAGAAACAGGAUUGUACCUGAGGGAAAGGAUAUGAGUAGAAGACAUUCAUCUCAUCUUGCUCAGGUUUGGGCACACCUGCUUCUUGUACACAGAAGAAGCUGAGAGGGACAGGGGAAAGCAGAGUAGGGAUCACUGCUUAGCCCAGAUCCAAUUCAGGGCAAGAGAACCCUAGAUCAGUGGUUCUGAAGUCAGGAUGCACUUUAGAAUCACUUAGAGAGCUUUAAAAAAAUACAGAUGCUUGUGGGGGGAAGCCUGGGUGCUCAGUCAGUUAAGCAUCUCACCCUUGGUUUCAGCUCAGGUCAUGAUCUUGGGGUCCUGGGUUCAAUCCCCUUAUUGGGCUUGGGGAGUUUGCUUGUCCCUCUCCUUCUGCUCCUCCCCCUGUGUGUUCUCUCUCUCUCUGGAAUAAAUAAAAGCUUAAAAAAAAAUACAGGUGCUUGGGCUCCACUCAGAUCAGUUCAACCAUAGCCUCUGACCUGGACACUAGUGUUUAUUUUUUAUUUUUAUUUUUUAAAGAUUUUAUUUAUUUGAGAGAGCGAGAGCGAGAGAGAGAGAAGGAGCAGGAUGAGGGGCAGAGGGACAAGCAGACUCCCCGCUGAGGAGGGAGCCCGACAUGGGGCUCGAUCCCAGGACCCUGAGAUCAUGCAUGACCUGAGCCAAAGUCAGAUGCUUAACUGCCUGAGCCACCCAGGUGUCCCUGGACACUAGUGUUUAUUAUGAGCUCUCUGGUUACUUCCAGCUUAAAAUAGCACAUCUGGAGUAAGGACUAUUCAUUGUCUCAAAGAUGAGUUAGUUCUCAUUGAUCCCAACCAAUGGGAAGCAAACCGGUAAUCCUUACUUGUUCAGACAAUGGUACUGUGAAGGUUUAAAGUUAUAGAUUCAAAGAAAAAAUAAAAAUGUAUGGAAGGUGACAGGUGUGAGUUCUUAACCUGAGAUCAUAGGGGUUCCAUCACCCCCUGAAACUGCAUGCCAAGCUUUGAGCAAAUGUAGGUCUCUAUAUUUGAGGAAUGGGGUGACAGGGGGAAAGGGUUCAUCCCCUUUAGAGGAUUCCCAAAGGAAGCCACAGACAACAAAUAUUUUAGGAACUGCUGAGGGGAAAAAACACCUUCAUGAAAUUCAUGCCCAUUCCAAUGAAUGUGUGUGAAAGACACACACAUACAGUUUUGAAGAAAGAAAACUUAUAGGUGGGAGGGUCCUGAGUGCUCCCCCAAACUUUCACUGUUCUCCCACUGUUCCCCACGCUAACUGCCAUGGUCACCCGUUCCUGGUGCCUGUGAGAGCUCCCACCUAACAAUUCUGACCCCGUGAAAAUCACCUUUCCUUGAUAUACCUUAGCACAGUGGAGUGAGUGCAAUCUUCUUAAAACUACAAAUGAUGAAACCGAACAAAUAAUUAAGAUGAUCAACCAAUGAAGGAAAUGAUAGCAGGUCAGAUGGAGAAUCUCUCUCUCUCUCCCUCUUUUUUGAAAAUUUCAGAUGGAGAGUCUUUUAAUUCUUACUAUGCUCAUGCUCCAAAUUUCUGUCUCACUUCCCAUAUAUCUUAACUGGCUUCCCCCCAACCCUCCAUCUCCUCUUGGCCCAGGACCCUCUUACUUCUGGCUACAUGGGAACAUUCUCAUGAGCCAAUGUCCCUGGCAGAUCAGUGAGAGAUUGUUGCAGUUUCUAAAAUGUGGGACAUGCCUCAUGCCUUCAGCACCUUUCAACUUCAGUCUGUUUUCAAAGCAAAAAUGGAAAAGCGGUUUGAACUCACCCGCUAAAUCCUACCAGUUGAUAAGGAAAUCCUAGCAGAACUUCUUAAACUGAAAGGGGCAUUUGAAUCCCAAGGCUAUCUUGCUAAAGAUUCUGAUUCCCUCUGAGAAUCGCUGUCCGUGGCAAGAUCCUAAAGGAGUCUGUUGCAGAUGACUCCGAGGUUGGGACCCUUUGGCACUGUCUGCCACCGGGCUGGGGAUUUGACAGACCAGGUGACAGUCCUUGUUUCAAGUUAUCAGCCCUGCUUCCCCCUAGAACACUCUGUAGUUGCUGCAGCUGUGUCAUUGUGGUGGGCUCUGUGCUUUCCCUACCAUUGCUGAUCUCAUGCCUUCCAUUAGCUCAGGAAGAUGGCCUUGUCCCUACCAUCAAGGGACAGCUCCCAUUACAGCGCUGCCUUCAGUCUGCUGGAGAGCUGAUCUUGGCAGAUCCUUGCAAGCUCCUCCCCUCUGCUGAUUGGAUGGGUUUGGAGACUUAUUGCUGCCCCAGUCCAAGCAGUACGACCAGAGCCCUGGUGUCCCACGAGCAUCAGUCUGCCCCCAACCAGGCACUUGGUCUUUUUGUCUGCUGGGUCUGGAGCCCAGGCUGGAAACCUAGAUGUGGUCUCGCCUCCCUUCUCCCGAGGUCUGCUGCUGAAACUGCUGGUCCAGCCCAGAUGGAGCAUGAAGGUGAGAUGCUGACCACAUGGGAUGAUGGAACCGAGACGCUGAGACACAACACCUUGCCCCAUUUUGCCAGACGGCUGCCCCUGGGGCUGAUGCCAAUCCCCCCAGCACCAGUAUUAACUCUGCUGCUUUGAUGUGGUGGAUGUCCAGCUAUUCCAUCACCAUUUGUUGAAAAGACUAUCUUUUCUCUGUCGCAUUGUCUCUGCUUCUUUGACAAAGAUCAGUUCAGUAUAUUUAUGGCAGUCAGGCUGGAUCUUUCUUUGGAGCUCUUAAAGAAACAAAAGAAUAUCUGGGCAACGAAAACAAGAUGCAGGUGCCUGGGAGGUGGUCCAGUGUGGAUAUCAUUCUGGUAACUGCUAAAGUGAAAGAUAACUGGACCAGCAAAUGGUUCCUGGCUACAUAUGGAGGCAAUAUGGGUCCAAGAAAGCUUGAUGACAGAAAGCAGAGAUGUAAUCUAUUCCAAAUGGACCAUCAUCUGGAUAUUUGAAAUGUCAUGCUGUAAACAGUGUUCCGUUGUCUUAUAAGUUGUUAUGUAGGGUUGAAUGCAGAUGAAAGCCUAAAUUUAUAUCAUGAAGCAAAGUAUAAAAUGAAUGUUAACCUUCUAAGUACUUCUUUUUUUCAAUGUCAGAUUCAGUUAACUGCCUGUCUUCUAAUAGCGGUGCACCUAAAAUCUUUAAUGCUCUGGCCAUUUGAUGACCCACCCCCACCAAGGGGUAAGAAAGUUAGAAUUCAAAGGAAUUUUGGGACCCUUUUUCAUAAAACUUAUUUUAUAAAUCAGCUCCACCUUAUUUUUAAAUCAGAAAACUAAGAUCUAGGGAAGCUAUCUAGUCGCAUAGCUCUGUAGGUAGUAGAUGAUCCAGGAAUUUAAUCUACGGGCUCCUAGGAUACGAUAUUUUGUAUGAUGCUAUGUUGCCUUUAAGUAAAUACCUGUCUUAUCCUGUAAUGUUUCCAUCCCUAGGAGAGGACUGAUUUCACAGCGUGUCCUCAUAACCAGAAUAGGUAUUCCAGAAUGGACCAUUUGGUAGUGUAGGCUUUAUUCAUUCAAUUUUCAUUCAUUCAUUCAUUCAGAUAAUAUUUAUUUUCCUUCAGCUUUUAUUGUAAAGAUAUACAUACUCAACAUAAAGAGUAUCAGCAGCAUCAAAAUCCAUAUAAAGGAGUACAAUUCUCCUUUUCUCCACCACAUCGUGCUUCCCAGAUAGUUGCUCAUGAGAGCAUACUGUAUAUCCUUUCAGACAUUCUUUGAUGUAUAAAAAUAUGUUAUAGUAUAUAAUAUAGCACAUAUGUAUGCACCGGUUAAAAAAUGGGGAGUACUUGGGGCGCCUGGGUGGCUCAGUCAUUAAGCGUCUGCCUUCGGCUCAGGUCAUGAUCCCAGGGUCCUGGGAUCGAGCCCCGCAUCCGGCUCCCUGCUCAGCGGAGAGCCUGCUUCUCCCUGUCCCUCUGUCUGCUGCUCUGCCUAUUUGUGCUCUCUCUCUGUGUUAAACAGAUAAAUAAAAAUCUUUAAAAAAAGAAAAAAAAAAGAAAACUAUUAAAAAAAAAGGGGGGGUACUAUACAUAUUUUCUGCAACUUCCCUUUUUAACGUUUUUCACAUCAUAAUAUCACGGACACUUUGCCAUGUCUUAUCUAAUUUGUUCCUGUUAUCAAGUGUGUGUGUAUAUUUUUUAUAUAUUUUUAGAUACAUAGCAAUCCAUAGUUUGCAUGCUAUGGAUGCUUAUCUCACCAUUCCUCUGUUGGUGGGCAUUUUAUGUAGAUCCUAAUUUUUAUGGUGAAAGGCAAUGCUACAAAGAGUGUCUAUUUUUGCAUGUGUAAGAUGCAUUCCUAGAAGGGGAAUUUCUGGGUCCUUCCAUUCAUAUUUACUGAGUAACUAUCAUUUGCAAAGUGCUAUAAAAUGAUUGGAUGGGCUAUAAAAUGAUAUGAUGCAAUCUUUACAGGUAGAUGGUUCCUGCUCUCAUGAAGCUUGUAGAUUAGGUAGCAAGAAAUGUAUACAAAUAGCGAUUUCAAGUAGAAAAUCAUGAGCGCUAUUUGGAAAAUACAUAGAAACUGCCACGGGAGGGUAAAGACACCUUGACUUUCUAACCCAGCCAGUGAAAACUAACAGUUAUCCGGAGAUGGGGGUCUCAGUGGAAAUGCACUGAACAUUUCUGAAUAAAGUUACUUGAAUGAGCUGAAACAUUUGAGAAUGCGGGAGGGGACUUGGGUCUUGAAAGAGGUGUACAAAUGUCCAGAAAACAUAAUUGGUUUUGAACUUUUAGGAAGUAUCUAUAUUUGCAAAAGGGAGAACUGUUGCAGUCCACUAGAUCAUAUAAGACUGAAAGAAUUUUUGUUUCAAAGGUCCUUCCUCAUUGUUUGAUGUAACAAGGUGUUAUUUUGACUCAAGCCUACCUUGCUUUAGGUUUUGGAUUCACAGAUGUGUGGGGUCAGCUACAGGUGGCCUUCUCUUGAAUCUGGACCAUUUUAAUAAAUCACGUAUCCAUCUUCAGCAUAGCAGAGGUUAAGAACGAGCACUUCUAUUUUUUUCUUUUUUCAGUUACGAUCCUAAACCCCAUUGUCGUAGGGAAGCUUCUCCUGAAACUUCAGCAGCCUUCAUUAAAACAUCCUCCUGCGUGGGAAUCUUACAAUAGGAUGCAGAUUUAUGGGUUUUAAAAAUCUCUUCAAGCAUAAAAUGAUUUAUGUGGAGAUGGAGGUUAUAAGCCGUGCGCUCUAACAUCUUCAUCUUUCCAGAGAGAAAUUUGGUGGGGAAAGGUUCAGAUUCUUAUUAUUUUGAGUAUGAUAUUUGGCAAAAAUUCCUCCAGUAAAAAUCUUAGAAUCCUUUUUUGCUCCAUUUAGCUUCAUGUCCUUGAAGUUACCUACUACAUAAUACAAGCUUAGCCCCCACUUGUAAUACUCAGCAAGUUCAAAGUACCCAUCAACACGCAGUGAAAACCCACAGGAUAGUAGGGAAAGUGAUCAAAAACCAGAGAAACUAACCCUAGGCAGAAUAAGAGGCAAUUUUCAGAAGAAAAAAUUGGGGGAAUCUUAAAACAUUUUGAUCAUUCAAAGCAUUUCUCAACUCCUAAUAAGAGAGGGCAACACACUAAAUCAUUGGCAACUGGGUUAGGAGUCAGGUCCUGAUUCUUCCAUUGCAAGGUACAGUGGGGUGAGGCUGGGGUGUAGGACAAAGAGAUUUGCAUUCCUCAGAAUGCAAAGCAGACAGCUGAGUUUAAAUGUUCCCUUUGGUGUGUGAUGUCUUCAUCAGGCAGUCAGGAGGUUCCCCAGAAGCCCUGUCAGGCCUGGGUUUCCAGACAGCUUCUUCAGGAAGCACCAUGGGUGGAUGCCAUCCAUGCAAGGGUCCCUAUGGUCUAUUGUGAGUGAUGUCUCUCAGUAAGGCCCCAGAGCCUGCAUCCCACAAGCAAGAAGCAGCAAGGGAAAAACAAUUUUGGCUUUCACAGGUGUCAGGACUGCAAACAAAGAACUGUUUAUAAAAGAGGCAAUCACCCCCUUUUUAAAGUCAGCUUGGAUGGUUGAAAGCCAUGCUAGGAGUUUUCAAUAAGAAAAAAAUUCUUUCGGGGCGCCUGGGUGGCUCAGUUGGUUGAGCAACUGCUUUCGGCUCAGGUCAUGAUCCUGGAGUCCCUGGAUCGAGUCCCGCAUCAGGCUCCCUGCUCGGCAGGGAGCCUGCUUCUGCCUCUGACCCUCCCCCCUCUCAUGUGCUCUCUCUCUCUCUCAUUCUCUCUGUCUCAAAUAAAUAAAUAAAAUCUUAAAAAAAAAAAAAAAGAAAAAAUUCUUUCAAUAAGGAAGAAUUUAAUAGGGAUGAACACUCUUAUAGAUAAACCCUCUGGAAAUGGGAGAGUUAACUUGUUUGUUGAUUAUCAGAAAUAUAAAAAAAGAUGGAUGCAGUUAGUUUUCAAGUAGAUUUUACCUAUCAUAUUGAAACAUACCCUAGAGGUUUCUUUAAAUUGUGAUUUCUUUAUUAUUAAAACUAGUAACUGAUGUUGGGGGCACUUGGCUACCUUAGUCAGUAGAGCAUGUGACCAUUGAUCUCAGGAUCAUGAGUUCAAGCCCCACGUUGGACAUGGAGCCUACUUAAACAAAAACUAGUAACUGAAUCUAGUUGGUGUGGUCAUGGGUUAAGACACUGUGGGUUCAGAACCAAGUGGAAUCGGGUUUCAGUCUCACUUCUGCCACUCACCACAUGUAAAACUAGGCAUAGAUGGCCUCACCUUUCUGUGCCUCAGUUUCCUUGUCUGUAAAAUGAGACCCAUAAUAGAAUCUCUUACACAGGUUAGUAGGAGUGAUAAAUGAGAUGAUUUCUAGAAUGUACUAAAAAAUUAUUAAUCAUCACAACUAAUACUAGUUAUAAUUCGUGUUGUGGUUUAAAUAACAAUUACAUUAAAAUAUUACUUAGUAUUAAUUAUGUUCCAGAAUUAGAAGCUUUUAAACCAUUAUGACUAAUUAUUGUUGUUUGGUUUUAAUAAAACUCCACUUUGGGGUGCCUGGGUGGCUCAGAUGGUUGAGUGUCUGCCUUCGGCUCAGGUCACAAAGAGUGUCUAUUUUUGCAUGUGUAAGAUGCAUUCCUAGAAGGGGAAUUUCUGGGUCCUUCCAUUCGGCUUGAUCUCCAGGUUCUGGGAUCAAGCUCCGUAUUAGGCUCCAAGGAGCCUGCCUCUCCCCCUGCUUGUGCUCUCUCUGUGUCUCUCUCUCUCAAAUGAAUAAAUAAGAUCUUAAAAAAAAAAAAACCUCCACUUCAUCCACAUGUUCACAAAAUAAGACAAUUCUUUCUCAGGUCAAUAAGUAGCCACUAUACAUACCAAGAGAUCAC